Molecule: ribosomal RNA, 406 nt
Filed under: bacterium enrichment culture clone ALO1_GLFRUDD03FZ7H8
Lineage: Bacteria
Description: bacterial SSU rRNA
Rfam family: Bacterial small subunit ribosomal RNA
Source: RNAcentral
GAGUUUGAUCCUGGCUCAGAUUGAACGCUGGCGGCAUGCCUUACACAUGCAAGUCGAACGGCAGCACGGGAGCUUGCUCCUGGUGGGCGAGUGGCGAACGGGUGAGUAAUGCAUCGGAACGUACCCUGGAGUGGGGGAUAACGUAGCGAAAGUUACGCUAAUACCGCAUAUUCUGUGAGCAGGAAAGCGGGGGACCUUCGGGCCUCGCGCUCUUGGAGCGGCCGAUGUCGGAUUAGCUAGUUGGUGAGGUAAAGGCUCACCAAGGCGACGAUCCGUAGCAGGUCUGAGAGGAUGAUCUGCCACACUGGAACUGAGACACGGUCCAGACUCCUACGGGAGGCAGCAGUGGGGAUUUUGGACAAGUGGGGCAACCCGUGAUCCAGCCAUGCCGCGUGAGUGAAGAAGG